This 119-nucleotide ribosomal RNA is filed under the name Ophiocordyceps sp. Its description in RNAcentral is "partial 5.8S rRNA". It matches the Rfam family "5.8S ribosomal RNA", at positions 1 to 118 of the family's 154-position model. Rfam says of the family: 5.8S ribosomal RNA (5.8S rRNA) is a component of the large subunit of the eukaryotic ribosome. It is transcribed by RNA polymerase I as part of the 45S precursor that also contains 18S and 28S rRNA. Lineage: Eukaryota; Fungi; Ascomycota; Sordariomycetes; Hypocreales; Ophiocordycipitaceae. The record is from RNAcentral.
AAACUUUCAACAACGGAUCUCUUGGCUCUGGCACCGAUGAAGAACGCAGCGAAAUGCGAUAAGUAAUGUGAAUUGCAGAACUCGGUGAAUCAUCGAAUCUUUGAACGCAUAUUGCGCCC